RNAcentral lists this long non-coding RNA (881 nucleotides) under Marmota monax (woodchuck). Lineage: Eukaryota; Metazoa; Chordata; Mammalia; Rodentia; Sciuridae. The record is from RNAcentral.
CAAAUCCUUUGCAAACUCACUUUCAUUAGCUGCAGAUCCCUCUAUCCGGGAUUAAUACCCAAGUUCACUAAACCAGUCUCCUAUUAUUGGGCAGUUGGAUGUUGUUCUGCUUUUAUAAACAACACUGUGCUGGACAUCUUUGUGCCAUAAGCUUCUCCAUAGCUCUGUUAUUCCCAGAAGAGGAAUUCCUUAGUCAGAGGGUCUGAAUAUUUUGCAAUCCAGAGUAUAAAGAAUCUGUCCUCUAUCUUCUCACAGGGGAGGAGAAUUCCACUCAAGGACUCAGCAAAACUUCAAUAAGCACCCCGCUGGGCUCUUCCUGUGUGGGGCCCAAGUGGCGAAGCCCUAAGUCACAUUCUGAGGUUGUUUAUUCCAUUUGGUCAGUGGGCUCAGAGCCAAAGGCAGACUUGGAGCCAACUAUCAAUUAUCUAUCCUCACAAGGACAGGAAUAGCCUGCUGAUAUAAAAAGAAGCCAAGGAAAAUGCCCAAAUUUUGUUUUUGAUGUUGGUUUCCCUUCCUCCCCGUGGUGCCUCCUGGAGCCACUGAUAUGUGCUGGACUCAGGGAGGCCAUCUUUCUCCCACUCUGGGGACAAGUCAGCCACAAGGUGGUCAGGAGACGGGGGAGAAGAGGCCCGGCUGCCUGGGCGCGGGUGAAGGGCCCCUUCAGGAAGGAGACCGGCUGCACCUUUGAAGAUCAAUGUCACCAUCUCCUCUUUCUCUGAUUGUCAAGUGACUUCUCUCCGUUGCUGAGCCUGGCUUUGGGCCCAGUGUGGAGCCCCGUGAGCAAGGCUGUGAUCAGAGAGAUAGAUGUCUAUCUCCUUCCUGUUUAGCACCGACUUUCCUGUCGGAUGAGUCAACCUGUGCCCGUGUGCCCACAGCGUGAG